GACGAACGCUGGCGGCGUGCUUAACACAUGCAAGUCGAACGGAAAGGCCCUGCUUUUGUGGGGUGCUCGAGUGGCGAACGGGUGAGUAACACGUGAGUAACCUGCCCUUGACUUUGGGAUAACUUCAGGAAACUGGGGCUAAUACCGGAUAGGAGCUCCUGCUGCAUGGUGGGGGUUGGAAUGUUUCGGCGGUUGGGGAUGGACUCGGGGGUUAUCAGCUUGUUGGUGGGGUAGUGGCUUACCAAGGCCUUGACGGGUAGCCGGCCUGAGAGGGUGACCGGCCACAUGGGGACUGAGAUACGGCCCAGUCUCCUACGGGAGGCAGCAGUGGGGAAUAUUGCACAAUGGGCGGAAGCCUGAUGCAGCAACGCCGCGUGCGGGAUGACGGCCUUCGGGUUGUAAACCGCUUUCGCCUGUGACGAAGCGUGAGUGACGGUAAUGGGUAAAGAAGCACCGGCUAACUACGUG
RNAcentral lists this ribosomal RNA (468 nucleotides) under uncultured bacterium. Its description in RNAcentral is "partial 16S ribosomal RNA". It matches the Rfam family "Bacterial small subunit ribosomal RNA", at positions 28 to 507 of the family's 1533-position model. The record is from RNAcentral.